This 426-nucleotide ribosomal RNA is filed under the name uncultured bacterium. RNAcentral's name for it is "bacterial SSU rRNA". It matches the Rfam family "Bacterial small subunit ribosomal RNA", at positions 355 to 775 of the family's 1533-position model. The record is from RNAcentral.
UCGAGAAUCUUCGGCAAUGGGGGAAACCCUGACCGAGCGACGCCGCGUGCGAGAUGAAGGCCUUCGGGUUGUAAAUCGCUGUCAGAGGGGAGGAAAUGCCGGUGGGUUCUCCCAUCGGUUUGACCUAUCCUCAGAGGAAGGACGGGCUAAGUUCGUGCCAGCAGCCGCGGUAAGACGAACCGUCCAAACGUUAUUCGGAAUCACUGGGCUUAAAGGGUGCGUAGGCGGCCCGGCAAGUUGGGUGUGAAAGCCCUCGGCUCAACCGAGGAAUUGCGCCCAAAACUGUCGGGCUUGAGGGAGACAUAGGUGAGCGGAACCUAGGGUGGAGCGGUGAAAUGCGUUGAGAUCCUAGGGAACACCAGUAGCGAAAGCGGCUCACUGGGUCUCUUCUGACGCUGAGUGCACGAAAGCCAGGGGAGCGAAGAG